GUUAAGCGACUAAGCGUACACGGUGGAUGCCCUGGCAGUCAGAGGCGAUGAAGGACGUGCUAAUCUGCGAAAAGCGUCGGUAAGGUGAUAUGAACCGUUAUAACCGGCGAUGUCCGAAUGGGGAAACCCAGUGCAAUUCGUUGCACUAUCGUUAACUGAAUACAUAGGUUAACGAGGCGAACCGGGGGAACUGAAACAUCUAAGUACCCCGAGGAAAAGAAAUCAACCGAGAUUCCCCCAGUAGCGGCGAGCGAACGGGGAGCAGCCCAGAGUCUGAAUCAGCUUGUGUGUUAGUGGAACGGUCUGGAAAGUCCGACGGUACAGGGUGAUAGUCCCGUACACCAAAAUGCACAGGCUGUGAACUCGAAGAGUAGGGCGGGACACGUGGUAUCCUGUCUGAAUAUGGGGGGACCAUCCUCCAAGGCUAAAUACUCCUGACUGACCGAUAGUGAACCAGUACCGUGAGGGAAAGGCGAAAAGAACCCCGGCGAGGGGAGUGAAAAAGAACCUGAAACCGUGUACGUACAAGCAGUGGGAGCACCUUCGGGUGUGACUGCGUACCUUUUGUAUAAUGGGUCAGCGACUUAUAUUCUGUAGCAAGGUUAACCGUAUAGGGGAGCCGCAGGGAAACCGAGUCUUAACUGGGCGUUAAGUUGCAGGGUAUAGACCCGAAACCCGGUGAUCUAGCCAUGGGCAGGUUGAAGGUUGGGUAACACUAACUGGAGGACCGAACCGACUAAUGUUGAAAAAUUAGCGGAUGACUUGUGGCUGGGGGUGAAAGGCCAAUCAAACCGGGAGAUAGCUGGUUCUCCCCGAAAGCUAUUUAGGUAGCGCCUCGUGAACUCAUCUUCGGGGGUAGAGCACUGUUUCGGCUAGGGGGUCAUCCCGACUUACCAACCCGAUGCAAACUACGAAUACCGAAGAAUGUUAUCACGGGAGACACACGGCGGGUGCUAACGUCCGUCGUGAAGAGGGAAACAACCCAGACCGCCAGCUAAGGUCCCAAAGUCAUGGUUAAGUGGGAAACGAUGUGGGAAGGCACAGACAGCCAGGAUGUUGGCUUAGAAGCAGCCAUCAUUUAAAGAAAGCGUAAUAGCUCACUGGUCGAGUCGGCCUGCGCGGAAGAUGUAACGGGGCUAAACCAUGCACCGAAGCUGCGGCAGCGACACUAUGUGUUGUUGGGUAGGGGAGCGUUCUGUAAGCCUGCGAAGGUGUGCUGUGAGGCAUGCUGGAGGUAUCAGAAGUGCGAAUGCUGACAUAAGUAACGAUAAAGCGGGUGAAAAGCCCGCUCGCCGGAAGACCAAGGGUUCCUGUCCAACGUUAAUCGGGGCAGGGUGAGUCGACCCCUAAGGCGAGGCCGAAAGGCGUAGUCGAUGGGAAACAGGUUAAUAUUCCUGUACUUGGUGUUACUGCGAAGGGGGGACGGAGAAGGCUAUGUUAGCCGGGCGACGGUUGUCCCGGUUUAAGCAUGUAGGCUGAUUGUCCAGGCAAAUCCGGAUAAUCAAGGCUGAGGUGUGAUGACGAGGCACUACGGUGCUGAAGUAACAAAUGCCCUGCUUCCAGGAAAAGCCUCUAAGCAUCAGGUAACAUCAAAUCGUACCCCAAACCGACACAGGUGGUCAGGUAGAGAAUACCAAGGCGCUUGAGAGAACUCGGGUGAAGGAACUAGGCAAAAUGGUGCCGUAACUUCGGGAGAAGGCACGCUGGUGUGUAGGUGAAGUCCCUGCGGAUGGAGCUGAGACCAGUCGAAGAUACCAGCUGGCUGCAACUGUUUAUUAAAAACACAGCACUGUGCAAACACGAAAGUGGACGUAUACGGUGUGACGCCUGCCCGGUGCCGGAAGGUUAAUUGAUGGGGUUAUCCGUAAGGAGAAGCUCUUGAUCGAAGCCCCGGUAAACGGCGGCCGUAACUAUAACGGUCCUAAGGUAGCGAAAUUCCUUGUCGGGUAAGUUCCGACCUGCACGAAUGGCGUAAUGAUGGCCAGGCUGUCUCCACCCGAGACUCAGUGAAAUUGAACUCGCUGUGAAGAUGCAGUGUACCCGCGGCAAGACGGAAAGACCCCGUGAACCUUUACUAUAGCUUGACACUGAACAUUGAGCCUUGAUGUGUAGGAUAGGUGGGAGGCUUUGAAGCGUGGACGCCAGUCUGCGUGGAGCCAACCUUGAAAUACCACCCUUUAAUGUUUGAUGUUCUAACGUUGGCCCCUGACCGGGGUUGCGGACAGUGUCUGGUGGGUAGUUUGACUGGGGCGGUCUCCUCCCAAAGCGUAACGGAGGAGCACGAAGGUUAGCUAAUCCUGGUCGGACAUCAGGAGGUUAGUGCAAUGGCAUAAGCUAGCUUGACUGCGAGCGUGACGGCGCGAGCAGGUGCGAAAGCAGGUCAUAGUGAUCCGGUGGUUCUGAAUGGAAGGGCCAUCGCUCAACGGAUAAAAGGUACUCCGGGGAUAACAGGCUGAUACCGCCCAAGAGUUCAUAUCGACGGCGGUGUUUGGCACCUCGAUGUCGGCUCAUCACAUCCUGGGGCUGAAGUAGGUCCCAAGGGUAUGGCUGUUCGCCAUUUAAAGUGGUACGCGAGCUGGGUUUAGAACGUCGUGAGACAGUUCGGUCCCUAUCUGCCGUGGGCGCUGGAGAAUUGAGGGGGGCUGCUCCUAGUACGAGAGGACCGGAGUGGACGCAUCACUGGUGUUCGGGUUGUCAUGCCAAUGGCACUGCCCGGUAGCUAAAUGCGGAAGAGAUAAGUGCUGAAAGCAUCUAAGCACGAAACUUGCCCCGAGAUGAGUUCUCCCUGAGACUUUAAGUCUCCUGAAGGAACGUUAAAGACGAUGACGUUGAUAGGCCGGGUGUGUAAGCGCAGCGAUGCGUUGAGCUAACCGGUACUAAUGAACCGUGAGGCUUAACC
Molecule: ribosomal RNA, 2899 nt
Filed under: Klebsiella pneumoniae
Lineage: Bacteria; Pseudomonadati; Pseudomonadota; Gammaproteobacteria; Enterobacterales; Enterobacteriaceae
Description: Bacterial large subunit ribosomal RNA
Rfam family: Bacterial large subunit ribosomal RNA
Source: RNAcentral